GCGGCAUGGCCGAGCGGUAAGGCGGGGGACUGCAAAUCCUCUUUUCCCCAGUUCAAAUCCGGGUGUCGCCUGAUCAAUAAAAGAA
Molecule: transfer RNA, 85 nt
Filed under: Hippophae gyantsensis
Lineage: Eukaryota; Viridiplantae; Streptophyta; Magnoliopsida; Rosales; Elaeagnaceae
Also listed under: 1 other name
Description: tRNA-Cys
Rfam family: tRNA (bases 1-71)
About the family: Transfer RNA (tRNA) molecules are approximately 80 nucleotides in length. Their secondary structure includes four short double-helical elements and three loops (D, anti-codon, and T loops).
Source: RNAcentral